UUGUUGGUGGAGACCGCUACAGCAGGCUGGUGCAGACUGGUGGUGUUGGUGGGGACCGCUACAGCCAUCGGAAGGGAUUUGGCAGGAGGUGGAGCCUUCUUUGCUUGACUUUUACUGCCAAGGAUGGAAGGUUUGAUUUCACAGUCAUGGCCUCUUCCACUAGUUCACUGACUGAGCACUCCAUUAGGGCUUCUGAUGUCCUGGCCCGGAACAGCUGCUCAACGUGCUGCAGUAAAGAGAAUACAUCCGCAGAUGGCUGGUGAAGUGCGCCCUCUCUGUACUCCUUCAUCUGCAGCAGUGUGGCGUUGUCCGGUACAGCGUCGUCACUGUUCCUUAAGGCAGGCUUACAGGCCGAACACAAAGAGCCGCCUAGUACACCCUUGAUGACGUAUCCGGCCAGAUGGUAUAGCACACAGGACUCCGCUUUUGUGGAAAUGAUUCUGCUCCUACUGCAUGAGACUGCUGCUGUUGAUGGGGAAGUGCUUUUGCCAGAAAUGGCUUAGUUGCAGGUGGUGGCUUUCUUGAGUUGCACUGAUAAGGUAACCUAACUAACCUUUUGAGGACCCUUACAGUAAGUAAUAUUAUAUCUGUGUCUAACAUUUUGUAUUUCCGGUGAUUGAGGUCUUUAGCUGCAAAAUGUAUAGGACUUUGGUCAGACUAGUAGGGCCGGAUAUAUGUGCACAGCAACAUAGUUGUCUUUUUUUUGUUUCUAUACGCCAUCCCAAUGGAAUUCAAAUGAAACUACGGUAACAAGAGAAUAAAAGUGCCUUUCAAAACAUUCAAGGAUCAGAGAGAAGUAAUAAUAAAACGAAGACACAUUAACACAUUUUUAACAAAAAUAAAACGGUAGUUAAAAAGUCCUAAGGAAUAGGCUAACUGAAACAAAUGAGUUUUUAGUCUGCAUUUGAACUUGGGUAAUAAGUCAGGGGGCAGUGCAUUCCAGAGCUGAGGAGCAGAGCAACUGAAAAGCUCUAUUCCCCAUGGUACUGAGAUGGGCAGAGGGACAGAGAGGAGGAUGGUCGAGGACAAACCGAGGUAGCGAGAGGGAAUGGCAAGGCAAGAUUGUUGCAAGAUUGUGAAUGGCCUGGAAGGUGUGCAGGACAGGAGUAUUUUAAGAAGCACAGGGUAUUGAGCACUCAGAGACAUAGCCAAGGUAAGAAUGGAAGACGCCGAACAACCAUUCAACAAGUUAAUUGAGUCAAGACUGGGUCAUGAAAUACCAGAGGACAGUUUUCAAAGGUAUGGACUAGUGAAAGUGACUGUUGACAGACAGGGUGUCAAGACAAUGGUAUUUGUGUCGUAUUCGUGGGUAAGCGGUUAGGGUGUCAGACUUGUAGCCCAAAGGAUGCUGGUUCGACUCCGACCCGCCAGGUUGGUGCGGGGAGUAAUUAACCAGUGCUCUCCCCCAUCCUCCUCCCUGACUGAGGUACCCUGAUCAUGGUACCGUCCCGCCACACUGCGCCAUUGGGGACUGCCCCCUUGCAUGGAUGAGGCAGAAAUGCAAUUUUCUAGUGUGCAGUGUUCACUUGAAUUUUGUGGAGUACUGUGUCACAGUGAAUUUAAAUGUAUUACUUUAAUAAAUGUUAAUGACAAGUAGGAAUGGGCAGCAUAGUUGCAAUGCCUAGUCUUGCCACCCUUGUAAGAUCAGAUAACUAACUUUUAGUGUCUGUUUUCACCCUUGUAAGAUCAGAUAACUAACUUUUAGUGUCUGUUUUCACAGAAAUUUGUCUAGCGUGACACUUCUCCACAAUCCACAUGUAAACAGGCAUUUAAAAACAAUAUGGCCAUUGGUCUUGUCCUCUAGGUCCUCUAGGCCCAAGCUGUUAGGGCAGCACAGUACAAUAAAUUAAGUUGCCAAAAAAAAAACUUAAAAUAUUCCUCUGUGGUAUUAAAAAAAAUAUGCUUUCCAUGUAGAUGUGUGCAUUCUACUGUUCUCCACUUCUGUGAAGCAAUACUAUAGGAUGAGGGUGAAAAUGGUGUU
Molecule: long non-coding RNA, 1981 nt
Organism: Engraulis encrasicolus (European anchovy)
Lineage: Eukaryota; Metazoa; Chordata; Actinopteri; Clupeiformes; Engraulidae
Exons: 3
Source: RefSeq, a predicted model, not a curated record